Molecule: non-coding RNA, 270 nt
Organism: Oryctolagus cuniculus (rabbit)
Lineage: Eukaryota; Metazoa; Chordata; Mammalia; Lagomorpha; Leporidae
Source: RefSeq, a predicted model, not a curated record
CAUGACAUCACAAUGCCUACGUCAUUCACCUCACGUCAUCUCAUUAGCAGGCAUUUCACCAUCUCACAAACAUGGGUAUAGUACAAAAAGCUACUUUGAGAGAGAGAGACUGCAUUCAGGAUUUUAUGUUUUAAUCACAACAAGGCAGACUACUAAUUGGAAAAUGCUUUGAAUUCUCAAAACAUGACUCAGCUUUCUGAACAAAUGCUUUUUAAUCAAUGCUUAAUGAAGACUAAGAAGAGAGAAAAAGAAGAAUCCUAACUUAGAUAU